Molecule: long non-coding RNA, 239 nt
Filed under: Mytilus galloprovincialis (Mediterranean mussel)
Lineage: Eukaryota; Metazoa; Mollusca; Bivalvia; Mytilida; Mytilidae
Source: RNAcentral
GUACCCGUACAAUUAUAUAAAUAGACAGUGUAUAAGAAAGGCGUAAGAUAGAUGAAUUGUAUAAAUUUAAAAAAGGAAAGAGACUGCAUUUUGUUGAAAAAUCCAGAUAGUAAUAUGACACCCUCGGUAAAUUGAUUGAUAAGACGAAUUUUCAAAAAAAAAUACAACAAAAACAUGCACAUCGUAUUAGUCAACAAACAAUACGGGACAGUGAAUGAUCGUACACCACACACACAGGG